CGGAAGUAGCCGACUCGGCUAGCGAAAGUCACUAGUGCGCAUGCUCUAUGGGCCGCACAAUGCGGAAGAUCCGGGUGCUUUCAUACCGGGAAGUCGAUUUUUUAUUGCUUCACGCGCCACUGAGCAACUUUCAUAGGAAUGAACGGAGCCCUGUCUCCGACGCUGUAUCCAGUUUUCUUUAUACAUCCAUGGGUACAUCCUGUCAGCCGCGGUGUUUCCUAUCUGUGCAGCCGAACUUAGCAGCUCCCUAUGGCAGCUCCUCGACGGACUGUUUCACCCUGACGGUGCCGGUGCUUCCUCCACAUGGAGAGCCGGGGCUAACGUUAGCCGAGAGGCUAGCGGAGCGUUAGCCGCAGCAUGACCGGAGGGAAGCACAGCUAGCUAGCCUCUGCAUUGGCUCAUUCACAACUGUGUGGCCGGUAACAUCCAGUCAUAUUCAGGUGUACAUAUAGUCAGCUGGUCAUCAAGAAGCAAAGUUUUCCUGUUCGCCGUUGGACCACAUCCACUCUCUCAGGAGCCUGUUACCUGGACUUCCACUCACCAUUCGGCCGGAGCCUAAGAUAAGUAUCUACUGCUGCUGAAUCUCUGUGUUUUUUGGGUUUUUUUGGAUGUUGAUGUUUAGUUUUAUUCACUCAUGCAUGCUAUUUAGCUGAUCAUUAGAGAAUACUUACUAUAUACUUGAUGGGUGUUCAUAUCACAGUGAAAUCUAUAGCUGAACUCAUUGCUAAUUUGGGGACAGGACAACAUAAAGUAAAUGAUAGAAAGGUCUUGGUAGUGUCGUGUGUAUUGGAGUGAGUCUGGCACUCUGAGGUCACACACGUCCACAGGCUGCCUUCACUAUGUUUCUACUUUUGUGCCACUUGCUUGUCAGCAACAGCUGCUCUAUUGCUCUGGGCUUCUCCAGACCUGUCAUUUGUCUAGUUAUCUGCUCCAAUGAGCAUCACAUCAGGCUCAGGGCACACUAUAAGAAUGCUAAAACUAAUCAGCUACAUCACCGUCCAGCUUAAAUAGUCACAUAGUAAGACACUUACUUCUCCCCCAGGCCAACUUCCACUGCGUUUUGUAGCCAAUUUACUCCAAAUGACAGUAACACAUUACUGCUGAUUGCUUUCCAAACCACUGGGUUUAGUUCAGUUAAAUGUGUUAUGAAAAUCAACCUACCAACCAAAUACCGCGUCUCUUUCCCUAAAUGUCCUGACAUGUCUGUUUGACACAUCUGAAUGAUACACAGUCAUCACUUUAACAGAGAGAUGAAGCCAGCAAUGUUACAUAUUCCAUCUCUCAAAAGGGCUUAAGUUACAGUGACCAGACAUCCUGGUUUGACCAGGAUUGUCCCAGUUUAAAGCUGGAUAUCCUGAGUCCCAACAAAUAUUUAUAAAACACUAAAAUGUCCUGGUUUUUACCACAAUUAAACUAAUAAUUAUACUGAUACUUGUUUUCAGUGCUUACAUAGACGUUUAUCAUGUUCUGUCCCACUCAUUAUUACCUAACCCAAUAUAAAAAUAUAAAUAAUGCAAAAAAGUCUAACUAAGAAGAAAGACUGCAAAGCAUGAAGUAGCCAGCAAUCUUCUAAAGGGAACUUUCUUAGUUUUUGUUAUUAACAAGAUGCAACUGUGAUUUAAUGUUUUGAAGUUUUAAUCUUUGUAAACUCACGACCAGCUCGUGGCAUAGCGUUGUGAAGAUGUAAGUUACAUUUAUUUUAUGUUCUAGCUUAUAAAGUUGUUUAUAGGCCACAUAGAGAUUUGUACCUUGUUUUUUUACCUUAUUUGCACACUGACAAAUACUAAUGAUUGGUGGAUUUUGGGAGACAAAACAUAUUUUUUUGUCCGCUGAGGUGCUGUUGAUGGUGUUGAAAGGUGCGCUCAGUAGGUGUGCUAAGGGCUGAAAUAAUUGUCCCCCAUCCUGAAGAAAACACCUCUGCAUGAACAUGUGAUAGCGACACUUAAGGGUCCUGGUAAGAGGGUUUGAAAACAUGGUCGACCUAGUUUAAGUCUCUGUCCACUGAUAGUUAUAGUCUUACCAUCAUGGAUACAGCUGAUUCCAGACCGGUUCUUUUCAAAUGAAGGGCUCAUCGCUCCAAGACGCACGGACUGUUCUACCGCCAUCUUGUCCUUUUGUUGUGGAAACUUUAUUGAAAUAACCAGGAGAAUAAAUGUUCUUCAUUUUUCUUCAUUCAGCAUUUUCCUGCAGUUGAUCUAUAACUCACUCUAUGUAAAAGGACCUUUGAGACUGCAAAGUUGUCAAAUCUUAGUAGUAAACUAAAAAGUACAUUUACCUCUGAAAUGUUAUGGAGUAUAAAGUAACUUAAUGGAAGUACCUCAACGCUGUACUUACUUUUCACUUUUGUAUGCUUGAAAGGUGGCAAAAUGUUUAUUAAAUGACACAAAACAUUCUAAAAUACUGGUAUGAUCUUUUGUCUCAUUACUACAAAUAGCCUGUACAGUCUCUUUGGUAUUUCACUACAUGUAACCACAACAUAUUUGUACAUAAAACUGAAUUUCUCAAUACAGUGUGGGUACUCCUGGAACCCAGUGGAAUGAGCUAUAAAAAAUAAUAGCAGGCUUCAGGAAAACGGACUUCCAUUGUUCUUUUUUUUCCCUCCAGAUUUCUAUUUUCCUCCUCAUUGUUGAAUUUCAAACCGCCUCAAGGUCAGCUGUGUGUCUUUUUGCAGCUCCAGCUCUUCAACAGCAGCAGCAGCAGCAUCUCGCCAAAUGAGCUGGCACCACGCUGCCUGACACUGUGAACUCCACCUCCCUGUCUCCACCUGUGGAUGACUGAUGUGUUGUUUUAUAUACUUCUUAGGCUGUCUCUCACUCACACACCCACGAAUGUCACUGCCUAUGCUGCGCAAGUCAGAUCACCGCCUUUCACUUGUUCCCGUUUUAUCUCUUUUUUUUUUCCCACUUCCUUCAGCUGUUGGUUCCUUGCACUGAAAAGCAACAGUUACAUGCACGGACUCGCAUAUCAUUUGCAUUACAAUUUAGAUAAGGUCUGCUAAAGCCCUAAACCUAUAUAUGGCCUUGUUUCUGUGCUAAUACCAGUGUGGAGAUGAUACCACACUGGGAGCGGAGAGAGAGAGAGAGAGAGGGCUCGGCAGUUCUCCCCGAGGAGUCGCUGUCAAUUCUUUAGCACAAAUCAUAAUGAAGGGUUGUGAUAGUGCGUGACGCUGUUAUCAAAGAUCGCACUGUUAAGCUAUUCCCUUGAGAGACAGACAGAGAGAGAGAGAGCUCCAACCAGGGUGUCAAUCACAGGGGCGCUGUGUCUUAAGGGAUGGAGGGGGUGGGAGGUUGGGGGUGGGGGUCGUAUGAUUAUCUCUCCCAGCUCCCACCCGUAUCUCAACUCACCACAUCUGCCCAAUCUGCUCUCUCUGAUGCUUUCUUCUACAUGAAACCGGCAAGUCAAAUCCACAAUUCAUAAAAAUUUCAAUUACUGCUCUGCUGGCACGUCUGCUGCCAACUACCACACAUCCAGAAACACUCCUCACACUCCCUGAGUGCAGUUUAUUCAAAGCAGGUUAUUUGUUAAUUCUGUGGGUAAAUUAUGACCCAACUCGCAUCAUAUGGGACACUAAUUCAACCGCCUACAUAUAUUUGCCUCUUAACUAUGACACAGACAGUACACAGGGGGGGACAGAUGCUCAUACAUACUUGUAGUGAUCAUGAAACAACGGCUUAAACUACAGCUCAAUCAUGCUAUUUUUAGAGUUUCAUGCAAGGAUAAUAAAAGGCCUGUACCACCUGCAAGGCUGUCAUUGUUAUGCAUAUUCAAAAAUAAAGGUGAUCACACACAGCUAUGGACCGUCACUGCCAGAUGAUUCAAAUAAAUAGAGCUUUAAUAAUCACUUGAAGCGCAGACAGAGCAGAACAGUCUGCAUAUUAAUUCAUCUGCUUCUACUGUUUGUGUUUCUUGUCAGCACAUCAGCCCCGAUACCUGCACACUGCUGCAAGCUAGCAUUAGCUACCCAGCAGGUAUGGAGUAGAAUCCUGCAGCAGAGCUGCAGAUAAGAGCCACGAGGAGAAGAAAGGGCCAGCCGAGUACUAAAGCUACAGUUUCGUGCCUUCGAGAGCAACACAGGGAGAGGAAAACUGUCAAGAGUGAUGAACGGAAGAACUACACAGUUUUCAUUGGUCCAAAUCAACUGGUGUUCGUAUCUAAGUGGCCUCAUAAAGACUUUACAAGCUCACAGUUAAGAUGGGAGAGUGUGGUUAUGGCUGUUUAUAAGCAGGGAUGUUGUGAGGGGUAAAACCCUGUAAAAUAAACGUACCUCUUUUAUUUUUGGAA
Long non-coding RNA from Thunnus maccoyii (southern bluefin tuna), 4281 nucleotides. RefSeq lists it as uncharacterized. The transcript is spliced from 3 exons. The record is from RefSeq and is a predicted model, not a curated record. NCBI's taxonomy places the organism in Eukaryota, Metazoa, Chordata, Actinopteri, Scombriformes, Scombridae.